RNAcentral lists this long non-coding RNA (770 nucleotides) under Cervus hanglu yarkandensis (Yarkand deer). Its description in RNAcentral is "lncRNA (ENSCHYG00000000294.1)". The record is from RNAcentral. Lineage: Eukaryota; Metazoa; Chordata; Mammalia; Artiodactyla; Cervidae.
AGUGUCCUGGUCCUCUCGAUUCCUCAUGAAGAGCUGUCUAAUGGAUUCUUAAUUUCCCGUCACUGUGGCAGGGGCAUAGGCAUCAGGAUUUUCAUACACCUGUUCAUUCAUGCCUGCGUUUAUUCUGAACUUCCCGGCCACCGGAAGUCAGGAGGCCUGGGCCUAGAUGUGACCCCUGCCACCAACCCGCUGUGUCACUUUCAUCAGAUCUCGGCUGCACCCUGGGCUCACUUUGUUCCCGUGCCGAAGCGAAGGUGGGGGUGCUGGACCGACGGACAAGCUCCUCACCGCCAUCAGAAAGGCCUUGGCAAUGCGGUCCAGCUGGGGUCCGGGUGUGCUACAGGAUGCCCGACUCCAAGCUGGAGCAAAACUUGAGUCUUGGCUUCACAGCGAGCAGAGGACUGUCGGUUUCCUGCUGGCCUGUGGUCUGUGUCCAGCCCCAGCUGGCGUCUGGGAAUGGAGGGAAGCGGGACAGGAAGUGAAAUCUGGGUCACCAGCCCACCCAGCCUCCCCACUCCACCACCCACGUUCCCAGGCUCGCUCUGCCUGCCUCUGAACCGAGCCUCCUCACAGACCACGGCGGUGGCCCAGGCCCCGUGCAGUCUCUGCCCCCGUCGAGGGGAGGAGCAGGGAACAUGGGCAGGAGGUCGAGCCUACUUCCCAGAAGAGGCCGCGCAGCUCUUCCCGAGCGAACAGAAUGCAGAGAAGUCAGCGUUCCCAAGUUCAAGGCCAAGGCAGGGCGGAGGUCCCCGCAGAGGCGGAUGCCUUCC